GGGAGUACGGUCGCAAGAUUAAACUCAAAGGAUUGACGGGACCCGCACAAGCGGUGGAUGAUGUGGAUUAAUUGAUGCAACGCGAAAACCUUACCUACCCUUGACAUGCCACUAACGAAGUAGAGAUACAUUAGGUGCCCGUAAGGGAAAGUGGACACAGGUGCUGCAUGGCUGUCGUCAGCUCGUGUCGUGAGAUGUUGGGUUAAGUCCCGCAACGAGCGCAACCCUUGUCUUUAGUUGCUACGCAAGAGCACUCUAAAGAGACUGCCGGUGACAAACCGGAGGAAGGUGGGGAUGACGUCAAGUCCUCAUGGCCCUUAUGGGUAGGGCUUCACACGUCAUACAAUGGUGCAUACAGAGGGUUGCCAACCCGCGAGGGGGAGCUAAUCUCAGAAAAUGCAUCGUAGUCCGGAUCGUAGUCUGCAACUCGACUACGUGAAGCUGGAAUCGCUAGUAAUCGCGGAUCAGAAUGUCGCGGUGAAUACGUUCCCGGGUCUUGUACACGCCGCCCGUCACACCAUGGGAGUGGGUUUUGCCAGAAGCCGUUAGCCUAACCGCAAGGAGGGCGACGACCACGGCAGGGUUCAUGACUGGGGUGAAGUCGUAACAAGGUAACCGUAAAGACUGGAGAUCUG
Molecule: ribosomal RNA, 635 nt
Filed under: uncultured bacterium
Lineage: Bacteria
Description: bacterial SSU rRNA
Rfam family: Bacterial small subunit ribosomal RNA
Source: RNAcentral